RNAcentral lists this ribosomal RNA (589 nucleotides) under uncultured bacterium. RNAcentral's name for it is "partial 16S ribosomal RNA". It matches the Rfam family "Bacterial small subunit ribosomal RNA", at positions 355 to 1376 of the family's 1533-position model. The record is from RNAcentral.
UGGGGAAUAUUGGACAAUGGGCGCAAGCCUGAUCCAGCAAUGCCGCGUGUGUGAAGAAGGCCUUCGGGUUGUAAAGCACUUUUAUCAGGAGCGAAACGCUGUCGGCUAAUACCCGGCGGAACUGACGGUACCUGAGGAAUAAGCACCGGCUAACUUCGUGCCAGCAGCCGCGGUAAUACGAAGGGUGCAAGCGUUAAUCGGAAUUACUGGGCGUAAAGCGUGCGUAGGCGGUUUCUUAAGUCUGCUGUGAAAUCCCCGGGCUCAACCUGGGAAUGGCAGUGGAUACUGGGAGGCUAGAGUGUGUCAGAGGGUGGUGGAAUUCCCGGUGUAGCGGUGAAAUGCGUAGAGAUCGGGAGGAACAUCAGUGGCGAAGGCGGCCACCUGGGACAACACUGACGCUGAGGCACGAAAGCGUGGGGAGCAAACAGGAUUAGGAUACCCUGGUAGUCCACGCCCUAAACGAUGCGAACUGGAUGUUGGUCUCAACUCGGAGAUCAGUGUCGAAGCUAACGCGUUAAGUUCGCCGCCUGGGGAGUACGGUCGCAAGACUGAAACUCAAAGGAAUUGACGGGGUCAUAGCUGUUUCCUG